AUGCUUGCUUCAGCAGCACGUAUACUAACAUUGGAACAAUGCAGAGAAGAUUACCAUGGCCCCUGCUCGAGGAUGACAUGCAAAUUCAUAAAGCAUUCCAUCCUUUA
This is a small nuclear RNA of Gorilla gorilla gorilla (western lowland gorilla), 107 nucleotides long. NCBI's taxonomy places the organism in Eukaryota, Metazoa, Chordata, Mammalia, Primates, Hominidae. The record is from Ensembl.